Molecule: non-coding RNA, 28 nt
Filed under: Homo sapiens (human)
Lineage: Eukaryota; Metazoa; Chordata; Mammalia; Primates; Hominidae
Source: RNAcentral
UAUCUGACUAAGGUUGUAGGCAAGGGGC